AGAGUUUGAUUCUGGCUCAGAUUGAACGCUGGCGGCAUGCCUUACACAUGCAAGUCGAACGGCAGCAUAGGAGCUUGCUCCUGAUGGCGAGUGGCGAACGGGUGAGUAAUAUAUCGGAACGUGCCCUAGAGUGGGGGAUAACUAGUCGAAAGACUAGCUAAUACCGCAUACGAUCUACGGAUGAAAGUGGGGGAUCGCAAGACCUCAUGCUCCUGGAGCGGCCGAUAUCUGAUUAGCUAGUUGGUGGGGUAAAAGCCUACCAAGGCAACGAUCAGUAGCUGGUCUGAGAGGACGACCAGCCACACUGGGACUGAGACACGGCCCAGACUCCUACGGGAGGCAGCAGUGGGGAAUUUUGGACAAUGGGGGCAACCCUGAUCCAGCAAUGCCGCGUGAGUGAAGAAGGCCUUCGGGUUGUAAAGCUCUUUUGUCAGGGAAGAAACGGUAGUAGCGAAUAACUAUUACUAAUGACGGUACCUGAAGAAUAAGCACCGGCUAACUACGUGCCAGCAGCCGCGGUAAU
Molecule: ribosomal RNA, 523 nt
Filed under: uncultured beta proteobacterium
Lineage: Bacteria; Pseudomonadati; Pseudomonadota; Betaproteobacteria
Description: bacterial SSU rRNA
Rfam family: Bacterial small subunit ribosomal RNA
Source: RNAcentral